CUACGGGAGGCUGCAGUAAGGAAUAUUGCGCAAUGGAGGCAACUCUGACGCAGCCAUGCCGCGUGCAGGAAGAAGGCCUUAUGGGUCGUAAACUGCUUUUAUUUAGGAAUAAACCCCCGAACGUGUUCGGGGCUGAAGGUACUAAACGAAUAAGCACCGGCUAACUCCGUGCCAGCUGCCGCGGUAAUACGGAGGGUGCAAGCGUUAUCCGGAUUUAUUGGGUUUAAAGGGUGCGCAGGCGGGCUAUUAAGUCAGUGGUGAAAUCCCGGGGCUCAACUCCGGAACUGCCAUUGAUACUGAUAGUCUUGAGUUUGGUUGAAGUGGGCGGAAUGUAGCAUGUAGCGGUGAAAUGCAUAGAUAUGCUACAGAACACCAAUCGCGAAGGCAGCUCACUAAGGCAAAACUGACGCUCAUGCACGAAAGCGUGGGGAUCAAACAGGAUUAGAUACCCCCGUAGUC
This 459-nucleotide ribosomal RNA is filed under the name uncultured bacterium. Its description in RNAcentral is "partial 16S ribosomal RNA". It matches the Rfam family "Bacterial small subunit ribosomal RNA", at positions 339 to 795 of the family's 1533-position model. The record is from RNAcentral.